GCUUUUGAAAGAUAAUAGCU
RNAcentral lists this transfer RNA (20 nucleotides) under Pseudobatos productus (shovelnose guitarfish). RNAcentral's name for it is "partial tRNA-Leu". The record is from RNAcentral. Lineage: Eukaryota; Metazoa; Chordata; Chondrichthyes; Rhinopristiformes; Rhinobatidae.